Molecule: long non-coding RNA, 9801 nt
Filed under: Phaseolus vulgaris (common bean)
Lineage: Eukaryota; Viridiplantae; Streptophyta; Magnoliopsida; Fabales; Fabaceae
Description: long non-coding RNA (PVUL_LNC003300)
Source: RNAcentral
AUUGAAACCAACUUCAGCACUGAUUCUUCAUCAUCAAGGGUAGAACUAUCUUGUUGCUCCACCAUGGAACUCACCACUCUCCUGUGGAUAAAGUCUGUGUUCACAAAAAUGACUUUGCAUCCAUUCUGAACCAACUUCUGCGAGAAGGUCAUCAUGGGAUUCACAUGCCCUUGUGCUGGAUAUGGUAAAGCUAGCACAGUUGGAGUUCUCAUGUUAACACUCUUUUUAUUUGGUUUCUAUUGAUUCUGAUUUUCUGAGACCAAUUAGCAUGCAUCUAUUCAUCUAUAUAUAGGCACAGCCCCUCACUAUAUCAUAAUCGUGUAUAUACGUACCAAUUACAAUCUAGGUCACGAUCAGUCAAAAUCUUCGGCUAUCAUAAAUUUCAUGUAAGAAGAAAUGUAGAAAGUUUGUGUGUUCACAACAAUAAUUUUGUCAUUCUAUACCUCUUUACAUUUCCUUGUACUUCUCUGAUUCGACUUUAGUGUUUUUAUCAUUAAACUUUUGUUUUUUAGUUUAUUAAUUGAUUUAGCAUUAUGGUGUUAUUUAAUUACGAGAAUCAUGUAAUUAGUGUAAGAAAUUAGACGUGAAGGGUAGGGAAAAAACGGAUGGUGGGUCUUUGAUCUGGGAUGUGGUGGAAGGGGGUCACUAUGAGAUUAUGUGUGCAGAGAGUAGGAUGAGGCAGUGCAGAAUUGUGUAGGUGCUGGUCUAGAUUUGCUCUGUCAUGCAUUGCAUAUUUGUUGCUUUAGUUUUAUCAAUCUAUGUCUUAGCCAAAGGCUAGGAGCUGUUUGGAUAGGAAUGUCUUCUUAACAGCAAAACAGCAAAACUAAUUUGUCCUGCAUAAUUUUGCAUACUAGAUAGGAACUUUGGGAAUGGUUUUGCUAGAUCUAAUUUUUAUAUAAGGGUUCAAACAUUCCUAAAAUAUCCCUUCUAAUUUUAUUUACUUUUUGCUUAUAAAAAAAUUGUAAAAAAUAUUUCUUUUAAUUUAGAUGAAUUUGAAAGGAAAGGUUAAUAAAUGAAAAUUUUCAAAUAAUAAAAAGAUUGGUAGAAGGAUAGUUGAGAAGUGCAACAGAUUGCCUCUAACUUUGAAAACAAUUGGAUGUCUUUUACGCACAAAGUCAUCCAUUUCAGAUUGAAAAAACAUAUUGGAAAGUGACAUAUGGGAGCUACUAAAAGAGCACAAUGAAAUAAUCUCUUUGCUAUUUCUAAGCUAUUGCCACCUUCCUUCUCAGGGUAUUUGAUCAUGAUGGGGUUAUUUUUUUUUGUUUUUACCAAAAUGGAGUCCGUUUAAAAAAAAUUACAAAUUUAGGCAAGUCGUGCCAAUUUGGCACGACUUCAUAUGGACAAAUCGUUCCAAUUUGACACGACUCUGCCAUGUCAUACUAAAAUCGUGCCAACUUGGCACGACUUCUGCCCUGUCAUACCGAAGUCGUGCCAACUUGACACAAAUCUGCCACAUCUUAAUUUUUAAUUUUUUUUAAAAAUUUUAUUGUUUAUAUAUUGGAUAGUAAGUUAUGUAAUGCUAAAAAUUAAUUUGAUACAUAAUUUUUUAAGAGGGUUAGUUUCAAGGAACAAAAAAUUGGAUAUAUAUAAUUAUUUUUAAAUUAUUUAAUUAUUUCAAAAUAAUUACAAAUUAUUUAUAUUAUUUGUUUUAUUUAAAAUUUAUAUAAUUAUUUCAAAAUAAUUACCGUACUUAUACCUUUUUAUAUUUUAAUAUAAAUGACAUUAAAAAAAAUAAACAGGUCAAAAAAUGUAUUAUUUGAAUUGUGAUAAAAAAAAUUAUUACUUUAGAAAAAAAUAAAUAAUUGUAAUACACGAUUAUCCAAUUUUUUGUUCCUUAAAACUAACACUCUUAGAAAAUUAUGUAUCAAAUUAAUUUUUUACAUUACAUAACUUACAACCCAAUAUAUAAACAAUAAUAUUUAAAAUAAAAAUAAAAAUUAUGACAUAACAUAAGUCGUGGCAAGUUGGCAUGACUUCAGUAUGACAGAGGCACGACUUGCCUAAAUUUGUAAUUUUUUUUAAACGGACACCAUUUUGGUAAAAACAAAAAAAAAAUAACCCCAUCAUGGUCAAAAACCCUCAUUCUCAUCUUAAAAGGUGCUUUGCUUAUUGUGUCUUAUUUUCCAAAGAUUAUGAGUUUGUGAAGGAGAAGUUAAUAAUUUUCUUGUGAGUCCACAACAUAUUAGACGUCAAGAAGAAGUUGGUGAACAUUACUUGAAUGAUCUAUUGUCAAGGUCUUUCUUUCAACAAUUAGGGGUCAAAAAGUGUUUUGAACAAUCAUGUCUUAGGAGGUGUUUCGUCAUGCAUGACCUUUUCAAUCAUUUGACAAAUUCAAUAAUUUGACAAAAUAUGUCUGUGUGGAUUUUUGUUCCAGAUUGAAAUUUGAUAAAGGUUUUAAUGGUUUUGGGAGUUUAAGUGAAACUAAAAGCUUCGUUAAUUACGUGUUUAAUAUGUGAAGCUUCUGUCUUGUUCUAAGACAUCUUUGUAGUACUUUUUUCUUCCUGCCCUUACAAGCCAGUGGAUGUAUGUAUCAUAAACUAAUAACUAAUUCCAACUAACUAUAUAAAGAUAACCUUUGCAACACUUAUACCAAAUCAAGUCCCUAUAAAUUUAACCAAAUUCUCUGUUUUUUUAAUUUGGUUCUCUUGAAUGUUUAUUCAGAAAUGUUGUCCCAAUACUGGAUUAUGCUAAAUCAUGGAGAAAUUGAAUUAUUCAUAAUAAACCAUGUCAUUAUGUAACAUGCUUGUCUCAAGUCUUAAUGUGAAAUGCUUUUAAGCUGAAAUCUAAUAUGGUAUAAGAUUCUAUAGCUCAUUUGUGUUUAAUUACAAUAAACUGAGACAAUUUGGGCAUUGAAAUUGUCUUAAAACAGGGUCCAAUGUGCAAGGCCAUACAUCCAUCCAUUUUAUUUUCCUUAAUGUUCAGAACUUUAGACUACUAAAUAUUUUAUUUUUCCUUUUUCUCAUACUUUUGACCCUUCAUGUAUCAUAAUCCAGCAUUCUAUACUUAUAUAAACCAAGAAAAAUGAACUUUUCUAUUUGGACUGAGGAGUGGAUUUGUGAGGAUUAGAGAGUAUGUGUGAGAGGAUAUGUGAGGUUGUUUGGAUUGAGGGAUGAUAGAGUGGAUUUGUGAGGAUGAUUUAUUGUAAGUUUACAAAUUUACCCUUGUUAUUAAAAAAUAUUUAAAUAAUGAAUUAUGAUUUUUUUUAGGUUUGAAUUAAUUAAAUAUUUUUAACAUAUAAUAUCUAUAAUUGUUUAUAUUUUUUAAUAAAAGAUUAAAUAUUUUUUUGUGUUAAAUUGAAAUAAAUUUAUUAAAUACAUUAAAAUUUAUGAAAAUAAUAUUUAUUAUUAUAUUCAUUUGUUACUUUAUAUAACUAUAUAUGGUUGAUAUUAUAAAUUUUUUUGUAUUUUUUAUUUUAUUAUUUAUAAUUAUAUGUUGUUAUUAAUAGUAUAAUUAAAUAUUUUUGAAAUUAUAAAUAAUAAAUAAAUUUAUAUAAUAUUUAAUUUUGUAUAUUGUAAAUAAAAUGGAUGGACAAGAAUAUUUUGGUAAAAUACAAUAAUCCUACAUUAAUCGCCACAAAUCUCUUCAUCAGCAGGGAGAAGGUUUGUCUUCUUUGGGGGACUAACGAAGUAGAUUGGGUCGAAAACAAAGCUACAAACAACGCAGGGGGGUUCUUACGAUGUGGAGUAAUAAGUCGUUUCAGAUGUUUAGUUUUGUAAACGGAAGGAACUAUACUGUGAUUGAAGGUUUUUGGAAGGUUAUUAAUGAGGUUUUUGUAACUAUAGUGAAUGUAUAUUGUUGUGGCUCUUUACGGGAAAAGAAAGAGAUGUGGAAAAAGAUCAAUGGAGUCAGGUUGAAUCAACUAUCAAAGGCGUGGUGUAUUAUUGGAGAUUUUAAUUCUAUUAGACGUAAAAGAAGAGAGGAAGAGUUUGAUUUCGACGUCAGAUUAUUCUAGAGAAAUAAAAGGGUUUAAUGAUUUUAUCAAAAAAUCAGAAUUGGUUGAUAUCCCAUUGGUUGGAAGGAAGUUUACUUCGUAUAAACCCAAUGGUUUGGUGAAGAGCAGAAUCGACAGGGUUCUAGUUUCAAAGGAGUGGCUGGAAUCUUGGCCUCACUGCCAACAAUUCGUUUUAAACAAAUCAAUCUCUGACCAUUGUGCGGUUAUACUUAAAGAGGUGUCAGUGGACUGGGGCCCGAAACCUUUUAGGUGUUUGGAUGUUUGGCAAAAAGAUAGCAGAUUUAAAGAGUUUGUGAGUUCGAGUUGGUCUUCUUAUAGGUUAUAGGAGGUGGGAUUUUUAUUUUCAAAGAAAAAUUGAAAAAACUAAAAGCAUAUUUAAAAGUAUGGAACAAAGAAGUCUUUGGAGGUGUAAAUCUUGCCAGUAAGGAAGUGCAAAAGAAGAUCGAUGAAUUAGAUGUACGAGACAAUGAUGGUGGUUUAGUUGAGUCAGAAAGGGAAGAAAGAAAGUUCCUCUUUGCAAAACUUAAUAAAUUCAAAUUUAAGCAAGAGGCUAUUAUGUUUCAGAAAGCAAGACAAAAGUAGUUAAAACAGGGGGAUCUUAAUACAAAGUUUUUUCACUCUGUAAACUGGAGAAGGGCAAGGAAUCAGUUGCAUGGGGUUUUCGUUAACGGUAAAUGGUGUGAAGAUAAGGAGGUGAUCAAGGACAAGGUUCGUGUUUCCUUUGAAGAUAGGUUUGCCAUGAACGAUGCUUGUCAAGUUAGAUUGGACAAUGUCAGGUUCAGUUCCAUUUCGGAGUCCGAUAAUGAGUUGUUGAUUGGAGAUUUUCUGAAGAUGAGGUUAGGGCUGUAGUUUGGAGUUGUGACAGUUCAAAGAGCCCUGGCUCUGAUGGUUUCAAUGAAAUUUUGCUGGGAUAUCAUUAAAAAGGAUGUGGUGUCGGCAGUGAAGAAUUUUGCGGUUAAUGGUCAUUGACCCAGAGAUUCAAACGCUUUGUUUCUUUGUUUAAUACCAAAAGUAGAAAAUCCUCAGCAGCUCGGUGAGUUUAGACCUAUUUCAUUAGUUGGGUGCUUGUAUAAAAUCAUAUCUAAAGUGCUAUCUCUACGAUUGAAAAAGGUAACUAGUAAAGUUAUUGACGUUAGAUAGUCGACUUUCCUUGAAGGAAGGGGUUUUUCUGGACAGUGUGUUAGUCGCCAAUGAGGUUUUGGAAGAAUAUAAAAGAAAGAGGAAGAGUUGUGUUUUCUUCAAAGUUGACAAUGAGAAGGCGUAUGACUCGGUCAGUUGGGAGUUUAUUUAUUAUAUGCUAAGGAGGUUGGGUUUCUGUGAUCUUUGGAUCUAUUGGAUAAAGGGUUGUUUAGAAUCAGCCUCGGUUUCAGUUCUAGUUAACGGUAGUCCACCUAGGGAGUUCUUUCCUAGGAAGGGACUUCGUUAAGGUCAUCCGCUAGCACCGUUUCUCUUCCUUAUUGUGGCAAAAGGGUUGGCUGGGGUAUCAAGGGUGGCUGAAGAAAAGAUUUGAUUGACAGUUUGGAGGUUGGCAAGGAUAAAGUGAAGGUAAAUAUGUUACAAUAUGCAAAUGAUAUUUUGUUCUUCUGUGAAGCUAACACCAAAAGCGUUUUCAAUAUUAAGGCGAUUUUGCAAUGCUUCGAGCUUUCUUCUGGGCUUAGGGUGAAUUUUUUGAAAAGUAGAAUUGGUGGGACGGGGCUGGAUCAGCUUUCGCUUCAGCGUUUGGCAGCUAUUCUCAACUGCGACGUGAUGGUUUCUCCUUUUGUUUACUUGGGAUUGCCAGUUGGAGGGAAUCACAAGCGUGGUGCCUUUUGGAAUGGGGUGAUAGAGAAAGUUCAGGCUAGGUUGAGCAGGUGGAAAGGGAGGUGCCUUUCGAUGGCUGGGAGGAUCUGUUUGUCAAGUCAGUUCUUUCCUCUAUCCCGUUAUUUUUUAUGUCCUUAUUCAAAUUGCCUUUAGGGGUGGCAAAUAAAUUAGUUAGGAUUCAAAGGAAUUUUCUCUGGGGGUGGGGAUCUGAAGGAAGGAAGAUCGUUUGGGCUUCUUGGCAAAAGGUAUGUAAGCCUCGCGAUUUUUGGGGGGGCUUGGUAUUAUUGAUUUAAAAAAUUUUAACUUGGCUUUGUUAGGAAAAUGGAUUUGGAGGUUGGGUACGGAUAAGGGUGGUCAUUGGAAGGAGAUUCUGGUUUCAAAAUAUGGUGGUUGGAAGUGCUUGAGAAAGGAAGGAAAAAGUCGUAGAAGCUCUCUUUGGUGGAAAGAUUUGAAAGAGGUGUGAGCCUCAGAGGGUUGGGGAAGAAGUUUUGAAGAUGGGUUCAACUGGAAAGUUGGUGAUGGAAAGGAUAUUUCCUUCUGGGAGGAUAAUUGGUUGGGUUGCGAUGCGUUGAAGAGAGCCUUUCCGAGACUGUUCUCUUUGUGUUUGGCCAAAGAGACAAAGGUGGCAGAGCUUGGAUCUUGGUCUAAUUGUGUUUGAGUUUGACAUUUAGUCCGGCGAAGACCUUUUUUCGAAUGGGAGAAGCCUUUGGUGGAUCAAUUUUGGCAGGUAUUGCAAGGUGUUAGGUUGAUUUUGGGAGAGGCGGAUAGUUGUGUUUGGAAGGUCGGGGAUCUUCAGAAGUUUUCAGUUAACUCUGCUUAUAUGCAUGUUAGGAGGGAUAGUGAGGUGGAAGGUUCUCCGGUAUUCAAUAAGUUGUGGAGAUGUAAAGCCGUACCUUUUGCUUUAUUUACUGUUUGGAGGGUUCUGGAGAAUAAGACUGCUACUAGGGUCAAUCUGGAAAGGCGAGGGGUGAUGGUUGAAAAUGCUUUGUGUUGUCUGUGUGGGAAGGAGGAAGAGUCUUCCGCCAUUUGUUUUUUAUUGCAAUUUUACUUGGCGUGUUUGGUGUUUUUGCUAUAAGUGGCUUGGAGUUUCGUUUGUGUCUCACAUUGAUCCUAAGUCCAACUUUGCUCAUUUCUGGAUGAGUCAGUCUUCAAACUCGGUUAACAUUGUGUGGAGUACAAUUUGGGUGGGGGUUGUGAGUGAAAUCUGGAAUCACAGGAACCUUAUCAUUUUCAAAAGGGGUGUGACUGAUGUGUCAGAAAUGCUUGCAAUGGUGCAAGUAAAGGUUUGGUCUUGGAUUUCCACAAAAUCUCGUUCUGCUUCGUUUUCCUAUUCUGAUUGGUGUUUAGAACCUUCGGCAUGCAUGAUGAUUGUUCCUUGAAGUUUUUACGUGUUAGUUUGGUUAGUGCUUUCAUCAGUUAGGUAGGCGGUUCUAGUUAAAAGUUGGUUCUCAUUUAUUUAUUGUUUAUUGCUGAUAAAAAUAAAAUAAAAUAAAAAGAACCAUCCACCCUCUCUCCAUCCACUCUCCCACCCUCAAAAUCUUUGAAACAAACAAAAAAAAAAUAUUCCCUCCCUCCUGAAAACAAACAUGUGGACCACCAUGAAUUAAGUUUCUUUUGACUCUUUCUCCUCCACUGUCAGAAUCAUGUGGUGGAUCAGAAGUUGAGAUUGAAAUUGUUUAACAAUCAUCUUUUCGAAUUUUUAAUCCUUUUCUUAUCUUAGUCUGCCUUGUGUAUUUGUAUGUGUAUUAUUUGUGUGGUUAUUGGAAACUUUCUUGUGUCUUUUUAUAGUUAUAACACAUUCUUUUAGUUUAUCUAUUUAAUUGUUUAUAUAAAAAAAUGUCAGUUUAUUAUCAUGUAACUUGAACUAUAUUCAGGAUCAGUUCGAAAAAUAUACAAGUUUAUUUCUUACCUAUUAUAGAAUAAGAAAUGACCCAUUUUUACAUUUCAAAAAUAUUUUAUGAAAUUGAAAUAAAUAUGAUUAAUAAAGAAAAUUUAUAAUAAAAUGAUAAAAAUAUCUAUUUUUAUCAUAAUUUCUACCAUGACCGUCUAUUUUAUUUAAUAAUAUGGUGAAAUCAACAAAGAAUAACAUAAUGAAUUGGGUAUUGCACAUACACAUUCAUUGCCAAUUGUAACUGCAUGGGUUAUCGAAAUGAUUGCAUCCAUUAUUGAGGGACUAUCAUCAUAUAUAAUACAAGUUUUUUUUGUAAUUAAUAUCAAGUUAGUUUGGACUGGGAAUAAAGUUGUUUAACUUUUUUUGAUUUAUUUGUUUUUGACGGUUUUAAAAAAGACAAUACCAAAUUAUGUAAGGUUUACUUUUUUGCUAUGGCUAUUAUGAACUGUUUUUUUGAGAGUUCUGAUGUAACAUUCUUUUACUGAUGUAAUUUUAGAGGACUAUUUAAAAUAGUUUUUUUUUAUAGAUUGGAAUAUGCCUUAAACAUUCCUAUUUGUUUAAUUUAUUUCUGAUAAAAAAACGGUAAAAUAAAACACUAAUCCAAAACUAUAAUUAACCUAAGCACAAAUCUGAACUCUUAUUCCUUUAUCUCCUUCACAAAGCUCUUAAAGUUCUCAUAAGAUGUUCCUCCUUUUGCUAUGUUCUUCAUCACUUUCUCCUUCAACACCACACACCUACAUUUUAUGUUCUCAUCAUUAAAUAAUUGUUCCACUUUGGUUUUCAACUCUCCACGUGAAACAAUCCCAUUUUGAUCCUUGUCAAUCCCCAACCCAACCUUUAACUCAUCACAAAUAUGUGCUUUGUUGUAAAGUUGCUCUCCAAAGUAUGGCCAACACAAGAAAGGUACUCCAUUGGACAAACUUUCCAUGGUAGAAUUCCAACCACAAUGAGUGAGAAAACAUGCUAUGGCAGGGUGACUUAAAACCUUUUGUUGAGGAGCCCAAUUCACUAUCUUACCCUUAUGCCCUUGGAAUUCAUGAGGGUAUGCCAUUUUAUUGUCUUCUCUUAUAACCCAAAGAAAAGGUCUAUUGGUGAGGUCUAGUCCAAGGGCAAGUUCAUUGAAUUGGUUUUGGUCAAAAAGAGUGAAACUACCAAAGGCAGCAUACAACACAGAACCAUCAGCUUGUUCAUCUAGCCAACUCAUGCAAGAGUGGUCUUCUUUCCAGAAUUGUCCCAUUGGUUUUGUAAUUGCACUUUUGUUGCCAUCAUUACCAUUGCUUCUCAACACUGGCCCAAUUGGGAUGAUCUUGGGAAGAAAUAAUAAUGUCCCAGGUUCAAGUUCAUGUGAGGUGUUGCAAAGCCACCACUGUGUCAAAUGUAAACUUCGUGUGCAAUGCAGCAGAUACUGAAGCAUUUUCUUACCAGUUAGGCCACCCAUAUUCAACCAAAAAAAGUCUUCUGUAUCCAUCUCAGGCAUACUUGGCGAAAUCUGAAUUCUCUUUUUCGUGGUUAAUGUUAAAUCUUCAGUGAAAAACCAACAAAAGAAUAUAUUAGUUUAUACAACGUAUAAAUUAAAUUAUAAAUUAUGUUCAAACUUAACUAUACAUAAUAUUCUCACCUAAAUCAGAGACUAUAAUUCCCUCAUCAAUAAGCACAGGGAUGUUGUACAGCAAGGUGAAAAAAGUUGCUGAUGCAGGACACAACACAGCUCCUUUGAUUCCCAAUUUACUCCCAACAUCCAAAGCCCAAGCCAUGCACAAAUCAACAACAAUGAAGUUGAUUCUGUUCUCACCUUUCAAAUGAAUAUCCUCUAUGAGCUUCUCAAGUGCUUCUGGCAUGGUGUUUGGAAUGGCAUCACACAUCUUGGCCAGAUCGUUUCUGUCAUCAUCAGGUCCUAAACCAUCAGGGAUUGAAACCAACUUCAGCACUGAUUCUUGUUCAUCAGGGCUAGAACUAUCUUGUUGCUCCACCAUGGAACUCACCACUCUCCUGUGGUUAAAGUCUGUGUUCACAAAAAUGACUUUGCAUCCAUUCUCAAGCAGCUUCUGUGAGAAGGUCAUCAUGGGAUUCACAUGCCCUUGUGCUGGAUAUGGUAAAGCUAUCACAGUUGGAGUUCUCAUGUUAACACUGUUUUUAUUUGGUUUCUAUUGAUUCUGAU